RNAcentral lists this ribosomal RNA (392 nucleotides) under uncultured bacterium. RNAcentral describes it as "bacterial SSU rRNA". It matches the Rfam family "Bacterial small subunit ribosomal RNA", at positions 29 to 424 of the family's 1533-position model. The record is from RNAcentral.
AUUGAACGCUGGCGGCAUGCUUUACACAUGCAAGUCGAACGGCAGCACGGGGGCAACCCUGGUGGCGAGUGGCGAACGGGUGAGUAAUGCAUCGGAACGUGUCCUGUAAUGGGGGAUAACCUAUCGAAAGGUAGGCUAAUACCGCAUACGUCCUGAGGGAGAAAGCGGGGGCUCGCAAGACCUCGUGUUAUAGGAGCGGCCGAUGUCGGAUUAGCUAGUUGGUGGGGUAAAGGCCUACCAAGGCGACGAUCCGUAGCGGGUCUGAGAGGACGGCCCGCCACACUGGGACUGAGACACGGCCCAGACUCCUACGGGAGGCAGCAGUGGGGAAUUUUGGACAAUGGGGGCAACCCUGAUCCAGCCAUGCCGCGUGAGUGAAGAAGGCCUCGGUU